Molecule: ribosomal RNA, 301 nt
Filed under: uncultured bacterium
Lineage: Bacteria
Description: partial 16S ribosomal RNA
Rfam family: Bacterial small subunit ribosomal RNA
Source: RNAcentral
CAGUAGCCGCGGUAAUACGUAGGUCCCGAGCGUUGUCCGGAUUUAUUGGGCGUAAAGCGAGCGCAGGCGGUUAGAUAAGUCUGAAGUUAAAGGCUGUGGCUUAACCAUAGUACGCUUUGGAAACUGUUUAACUUGAGUGCAAGAGGGGAGAGUGGAAUUCCAUGCGUAGCGGUGAAAUGCGUAGAUAUAUGGAGGAACACCGGUGGCGAAAGCGGCUCUCUGGUCUGUCACUGACGCUGAGGCUCGAAAGCGUGGGUAGCGAAUAGGAUUAGAUACCCCGGUAGUCCCUGUCUCUUAUACA